Molecule: ribosomal RNA, 253 nt
Filed under: uncultured bacterium
Lineage: Bacteria
Description: partial 16S ribosomal RNA
Rfam family: Bacterial small subunit ribosomal RNA
Source: RNAcentral
UACGGAGGGUGCAAGCGUUAUCCGGAUUUAUUGGGGGUAAAGGGUGCGUAGGCGGUUUUGUAAGUGAGUGGUGAAAUCUCCGAGCUUAACUUGGAAACUGCCAUGGAUACUAUAGGUCUUGAAUACUGUGGAGGUUAGCGGAAUAUGUCAUGUAGCGGUGAAAUGCUUAGAUAUGACAUAGAACACCAAUUGCGAAGGCAGCUGGCUACGCAAAUAUUGACACUGAGGCACGAAAGCGUGGGGAGCAAACAGG